AUCCGGAGGAUCCGAGCGUUAUCCGGAUUUAUUGGGUUUAAAGGGUGCGCAGGCGGCCAUUUAAGUCAGCGGUUAAAUCGUGGGGCUCAACCCCAUUCUGCCGUUGAUCAUGGGUGGCUUGCUUGCGUUCGAGGUUGGCGGAAUUCGUUGUGUAGCGGGGAAAUGCAUAGAUAUGACGAAGAACACCGAUUGCGUAGGCAGCUGACCAGACCGCAAAUGACGCUCAUGCACGAAAGUGCGGGGAUCGAACAGGAUUAGAUACCCUGGUAGUCCGCACAGUAAACGAUGAAUACUUGUUUUCGGCGAUAUAAUGUCGGAGGCAAAGCGAAAGCGAUAAGUAUUCCACCUGGGGAGUACGCCGGCAACGGUGAAACUCAAAUGAAUUGGCGGGG
Molecule: ribosomal RNA, 392 nt
Filed under: uncultured bacterium
Lineage: Bacteria
Description: partial 16S ribosomal RNA
Rfam family: Bacterial small subunit ribosomal RNA
Source: RNAcentral